UAGGAAAUGCACAUUCCUGUUCUAAAGGAUGUAUUUUAUUCCUGCUCUCUUUGGAGCACAGGUGAUUGCAGCAUUCUGUGAUUGAUAUUGAGCCAGGGUCUCUCCUCAGGAGGUCUGGCCUGCUCAGAGAAGCUGNNNNNNNNNNNNNNNNNNNNCCAGGCGGAGCAGCAGUUGCAGCCCUGGCUGUCCCUGGAGCAGUGGGAGCUGCCGCUGGCCCCAGGCACUGUCCUGUGAGGAGCUGCUGAAGGACGCUGAGACUGAGGGGGCUGAGGAGGCGCUGAUGCUGAAGGGACCUUGCAAACCUUGAGGUGUGAGGGGCACUGAGGGCUGUGGGGGAGCAGAGGGCCAUGGUGGCACGGAGGUGACAGAGGCACGGGCUGAGGGCUGUGCCGGCUCUGAGGGGACACAACGGCUCAGAAGGGACUGAGCGGGGGGAGAGGCCUGGGAGAGGCCCAAGAAACUGAAGAGGGGGCUGGGGCUUUGCCGAGAGGACGGCGGGGCUGAGGGGAUGGAGGGGGCCAGGAGGGAGCACACAGAGCUCAGGGACUGCAGCUCUGCCAGGCCUUGCAACCAAUUGCCAGAGCCUCCACUUUUGCCACCACAGCUGUCCUGAAGAGCUUGAGGACAGGCAGACACUGAGAGGAGCCAGCAGGGAGAAGCUGAAGGCCUGGAGCAAGAGCAGUGAGCAGGGAUGUGCUGGGGCCACGCGAGAGCCUGGAUGUCCCAUCUGCUGUCCCUGUCCAGGAGAGCUGCUCUGCAUGGCAGGAAAACACUGAGGGAGAGGCUUUGAAGAUGGGGCGGCUGGGAUCCCUCUGAUUGUAUAUCUAUAUGUAUAUAUAUUGUGUGAAAUAUGUAAUAUUUAAUCUGUAUUUCCAUCUGUAGAUUGUUAUAUAUGUAUAUGUAGAGGUAUUUAGUUCUAUUUAAAAAUGUAUGAUGUAUAAUUCUAUCAAUCGAAUUCUAAAUACUGGGUUAUUUAGAGGAAAACACUGAUAUUUUUGUAUUUCUAUAUGGGCUGUAAGAUUGUAGUAAUCUGUAAUAAAUUAAGUUGUUAAACACCUCA
Molecule: long non-coding RNA, 1060 nt
Filed under: Cyanistes caeruleus (blue tit)
Lineage: Eukaryota; Metazoa; Chordata; Aves; Passeriformes; Paridae
Description: lncRNA (ENSCCEG00000001830.1)
Source: RNAcentral